RNAcentral lists this transfer RNA (75 nucleotides) under Promethearchaeati archaeon. RNAcentral describes it as "Asgard group archaeon (marine sediment metagenome) tRNA-Asn". It matches the Rfam family "tRNA". From Rfam's summary of the family: Transfer RNA (tRNA) molecules are approximately 80 nucleotides in length. Their secondary structure includes four short double-helical elements and three loops (D, anti-codon, and T loops). Further hydrogen bonds mediate the characteristic L-shaped molecular structure. tRNAs have two regions of fundamental functional importance: the anti-codon, which is responsible for specific mRNA codon recognition, and the 3' end, to which the tRNAs corresponding amino acid is attached (by aminoacyl-tRNA synthetases). tRNAs cope with the degeneracy of the genetic code in two manners: having more than one tRNA (with a specific anti-codon) for a particular amino acid; and 'wobble' base-pairing, i.e. permitting non-standard base-pairing at the 3rd anti-codon position. The record is from RNAcentral. Lineage: Archaea; Promethearchaeati.
GCCAAGGUGGCCAAGUCUGGUAAGGCUCCCGACUGUUAAUUGGGAAACUCAAUGGUUCAAAUCCAGUCCUUGGCG